This 253-nucleotide ribosomal RNA is filed under the name uncultured bacterium. RNAcentral's name for it is "partial 16S ribosomal RNA". It matches the Rfam family "Bacterial small subunit ribosomal RNA", at positions 524 to 776 of the family's 1533-position model. The record is from RNAcentral.
UACGUAGGGCGCAAGCGUUGUCCGGAAUUAUUGGGCGUAAAGAGCUCGUAGGCGGUUUGUCGCGUUGUUCGUGAAAACUCACAGCUCAACUGUGGGCGUGCGGGCGAUACGGGCAGACUAGAGUACUGCAGGGGAGACUGGAAUUCCUGGUGUAGCGGUGGAAUGCGCAGAUAUCAGGAGGAACACCGGUGGCGAAGGCGGGUCUCUGGGCAGUAACUGACGCUGAGGAGCGAAAGCCAGGGGAGCGAACGGG